CCCGCACAAGCGGUGGAGCAUGUGGUUUAAUUACGAAGCAACGCGAAGAACCUUACCAGGUCUUGACAUCCCGAUGCUAUUUCUAGAGAUAGAAAGUUACUUCGGUACAUCGGUGACAGGUGGUGCAUGGUUGUCGUCAGCUCGUGUCGUGAGAUGUUGGGUUAAGUCCCGCAACGAGCGCAACCCCUAUUGUUAGUUGCCAUCAUUCAGUUGGGCACUCUAGCGAGACUGCCGGUAAUAAACCGGAGGAAGUGGGGAUGACGUCAAAUCAUCAUGCCCCUUAUGACCUGGGCUACACACGUGCUACAAUGGUUGGUACAACGAGUUGCGAGUCGGUGACGGCGAGCUAAUCUCUUAAAGCCAAUCUCAGUUCGGAUUGUAGGCUGCAACUCGCCUACAUGAAGUCGGAAUCGCUAGUAAUCGCGGAUCAGCACGCCGCGGUGAAUACGUUCCCGGGCCUU
Molecule: ribosomal RNA, 461 nt
Filed under: uncultured Streptococcus sp.
Lineage: Bacteria; Bacillati; Bacillota; Bacilli; Lactobacillales; Streptococcaceae
Description: bacterial SSU rRNA
Rfam family: Bacterial small subunit ribosomal RNA
Source: RNAcentral